This 119-nucleotide ribosomal RNA is filed under the name Carlito syrichta (Philippine tarsier). Lineage: Eukaryota; Metazoa; Chordata; Mammalia; Primates; Tarsiidae. The record is from RNAcentral.
CCCUACAGUCAUAUCACUCUGAAUGCAUCUGAUCUCUUCUUGUCUCAGAAGCUAAGCAGGGUAGAGUCUGGUUAGUACUCAGGUGGGAGGCACUGAGAAGUCACCGUAGAAUUUGGGGC